GGCCGCGGGAAUUCGAUUAAGAGUUUGAUCCUGGCUCAGGAUUAACGCUGGCGGCGUGCUUAAUACAUGCAAGUCGAACGGAAAUCUUUUAGAUUUUAGUGGCGAACGGGUGAGUAACACGUAAGCAACCUGCCUUUAAGACGAGAAUAACAAUUGGAAACAGUUGCUAAGGCUGGAUAGGAAAUAAAAAGGCAUCUUUUUAUUUUUAAAAGACCUUUUUCGGAAGGUAUGCUUAAAGAGGGGCUUGCGUCACAUUAGUUAGUUGGUAGGGUAAAGGCCUACCAAGACGAUGAUGUGUAGCUGGACUGAGAGGUUGAACAGCCACAUUGGGACUGAGACACGGCCCAAACUCCUACGGGAGGCAGCAGUAGGGAAUUUUCGGCAAUGGAGGAAACUCUGACCGAGCAACGCCGCGUGAACGACGAAGUACUUCGGUAUGUAAAGUUCUUUUAUUGAAGAAGAAACAAUAGUGGAAAAACUAUCUUGACGUUAUUCAAUGAAUAAGCCCCGGCUAACUAUGUGCCAGCAGCCGCGGUAAUACAUAGGGGGCGAGCGUUAUCCGGAAUUAUUGGGCGUAAAGGGUGCGUAGGCGGNUUAAUAAGUCUCUAGUUUAAUUUCAACGCUUAACGUUGUCCUGCUAGAGAAACUGUUUAACUAGAGUGAGAUAGAGGUAAGCGGAAUUUCAUGUGUAGCGGNUAAAUGUGUAAAUAUAUGGAGGAACACCAGGGGCGUANGCGGCUUACUGGGUCUUUACUGACGCUGAUGC
RNAcentral lists this ribosomal RNA (766 nucleotides) under Coconut lethal yellowing phytoplasma. RNAcentral describes it as "partial 16S ribosomal RNA". It matches the Rfam family "Bacterial small subunit ribosomal RNA", at positions 1 to 752 of the family's 1533-position model. The record is from RNAcentral. Lineage: Bacteria; Bacillati; Mycoplasmatota; Mollicutes; Acholeplasmatales; Acholeplasmataceae.